UGCCCAGUGACAAACUUUAACGGCCGCGGUACCCUAACCGUGCGAAGGUAGCAUAAUCACUUGUUCUUUAAAUAGGGACUAGUAUCAACGGCAUCACGAGGGCUGUACUGUCUCCUUUCUCUAAUCAGUGAAACUGAUCUCCCCGUGAAGAAGCGGGGAUUAAACUAUAAGACGAGAAGACCCCAUGGAGCUUUAAGCAAUGUAUUCACCCCUGCACCUUUACAUCAACCAAACAUAAGAGACCUGAAUACUAGCUUUAGGUUGGGGGGACCACGGAGUAUAAUAUAACCUCCAUGACAAACGGGCUA
RNAcentral lists this ribosomal RNA (308 nucleotides) under Hydrophylax leptoglossa (Assam forest frog). RNAcentral's name for it is "partial 16S ribosomal RNA". It matches the Rfam family "Archaeal large subunit ribosomal RNA", at positions 1952 to 2387 of the family's 2987-position model. Lineage: Eukaryota; Metazoa; Chordata; Amphibia; Anura; Ranidae. The record is from RNAcentral.